This 500-nucleotide ribosomal RNA is filed under the name uncultured bacterium. Its description in RNAcentral is "partial 16S ribosomal RNA". It matches the Rfam family "Bacterial small subunit ribosomal RNA", at positions 28 to 507 of the family's 1533-position model. The record is from RNAcentral.
GACGAACGCUGGCGGCGUGCUUAACACAUGCAAGUCGAACGGGUCUGCCCUGUUUUUUGCGGGGUGGGUCAGUGGCGAACGGGUGAGUAACACGUGAGUAACCUGCCCCUCACUUCUGGAUAACCGCUUGAAAGGGUGGCUAAUACGGGGUGUUCUGGCUGUGCCGCAUGGUGUGGCUGGGAAAGAUUCACUUUUGUGGUGUUUUGGUGGGGGAUGGACUCGCGGCCUAUCAGCUUGUUGGUGGGGUGAUGGCCUGCCAAGGCUUUGACGGGUAGCCGGCCUGGGAGGGUGGGCGGUCACACUGGGACUGAGAUACGGCCCAGACUCCGGCGGGAGGCAGCAGUGGGGGGUAUUGCACAAUGGGCGGAAGCCUGAUGCAGCGACGUCGCGUGAGGGAUGGAGGCCUUCGGGUUGUGAACCUCUUUCGCCGGUGAAGAAGGUCCUGCUCUUUGUGGUGGGGUUGACGGUAGCCGGGUUAUGAAGCGCCGGCUAACUACGUG